AUUGAACGCUGGCGGCAUGCUUUACACAUGCAAGUCGAACGGUAACAGGUCUUCGGAUGCUGACGAGUGGCGAACGGGUGAGUAAUGCAUCGGAACGUGCCCAGUCGUGGGGGAUAACGCAGCGAAAGCUGUGCUAAUACCGCAUACGAUCUAUGGAUGAAAGCGGGGGACUCGCAAGGGCCUCGCGCGAUUGGAGCGGCCGAUGUCAGAUUAGGUAGUUGGUGGGGUAAAGGCCCACCAAGCCAACGAUCUGUAGCUGGUCUGAGAGGACGACCAGCCACACUGGAACUGAGACACGGUCCAGACUCCUACGGGAGGCAGCAGUGGGGAAUUUUGGACAAUGGGCGCAAGCCUGAUCCAGCAAUGCCGCGUGCAGGAAGAAGGCCUUCGGGUUGUAAACUGCUUUUGUACGGAACGAAACGGUCCUGGUUAAUACCUGGGGCUAAUGACGGUACCGUAAGAAUAAGCACCGGCUAACUACGUGCCAGCAGCCGCGGUAAUACGUAGGGUGCAAGCGUUAAUCGGAAUUACUGGGCGUAAAGCGUGCGCAGGCGGUUUUGUAAGACAGUCGUGAAAUCCCCGGGCUCAACCCGGGAAUUGCGAUUGUGACUGCAAGGCUGGAGUGCGGCAGAGGGGGAUGGAAUUCCGCGUGUAGCAGUGAAAUGCGUAGAUAUGCGGAGGAACACCGAUGGCGAAGGCAAUCCCCUGGGCCUGCACUGACGCUCAUGCACGAAAGCGUGGGGAGCAAACAGGAUUAGAUACCCUGGUAGUCCACGCCCUAAACGAUGUCAACUGGUUGUUGGGUCUCUUCUGACUCAGUAACGAGGCUAACGCGUGAAGUUGACCGCCGGGGGAGUACGGCCGCAAGGUUG
This 872-nucleotide ribosomal RNA is filed under the name uncultured bacterium. RNAcentral describes it as "bacterial SSU rRNA". It matches the Rfam family "Bacterial small subunit ribosomal RNA", at positions 28 to 896 of the family's 1533-position model. The record is from RNAcentral.